Molecule: long non-coding RNA, 2402 nt
Organism: Mytilus californianus (California mussel)
Lineage: Eukaryota; Metazoa; Mollusca; Bivalvia; Mytilida; Mytilidae
Exons: 2
Source: RefSeq, a predicted model, not a curated record
ACGAAAGUAAUUCGAAUGUGCCUGUGCUGAUACAAAACAAAGACACAGUUCUGUUCAAAACAAAAAGGAUACAAUGACGGACAGUAAAUUCUGUGCUAAUUGUCAGUGUUUUGAUAAAGACACAAAAGCCGUAUCAUGGUGCAGUAAUUGCAUUGAAUUUGUAUGAAAGGUGUGUUCCAGUGCUCACGAAAUAAUGUUCCCGCCUCACAAGGUAGUACCAUUGCAACAGAUGCAACAACUCAGUUCUUCACUUCUUAUAUUGUCAAAGAACUGCGACAAUCAUUCAGAUCAAAAGAUUGUGCUGUACUGCUGUCAACAUGACAAGGUAAUCUGCGUUUCAUGUGUACCGGUAUCACAUCGUAAUUGUACGACCGUGUCCAUUGAAAAAGCUGCUAGAGGCGUAAAAGAUAGCACCGCUAUUUUUUAUCUAGAGAGAAGGAUUUCUAACCUCUGUCAGGUUACAGAGAACAUACGGAGUCAAAAUGAGACAACACCUGUAGAUUUAGAAAAAAAUCGAAAAACAAUCAAGUUAAAGGGUGUCGGAAUUAAAGCAGACCAUUAUUGCUUAUUUAAAUACGUUAGAAGCAGCGAUACAUAAAGACAUUGAUUGCCAUUAUAAAAACUGUACUGAGAGUGUGGCCCGAAAGAAAAAAUAGUAUCCAAUCCAGCUUAGACUCGCUGUCUACAUGGAAAAGUGAUAUAACAUCACUGAAGGAACACACAUCUGAAAUCCAUUUAUUCCAGUUCUUAAAAUUUCUAGAUGCAAAUACAUACCAGAAAGAAUUGGAAAUCAGAGAAAUCCAAACAGCAGCUGUUCCGAUACUCCGAUAUCAUCCAUCAGAAUAAGAGUCGAACAUUAAGAAACUAUUCCUAGACUUGGGUACAAUAACGGUAGAAAAUGUUCAAGUACCAAAGCCUUUACUAGAUAUCGAUCAACAAGGUCAAUUUCUCGUUAGAAACGACAGAAAGUUAUCACUAGCACAUUCAUUCAAAAUCACGAAAUUAAGUAAAAGAGUAAGUAUUCCCAGAGGAUGCUUUAUUUCUGAGGAUAAGUUACUCAUGUUACUCCUCGGUCACAACAAUGACGAACAACGUUUUGUUUGUACACGUGAUGGAUCGAACUCCAACGUGAUUGAUUUAGAUUAUUCAUCACGAGAUAUAAGCUUAUAUGACAAAAACCAUGCUUUAGUAUCUGUUGGUGAUUCAGGUAUCCAGAUUAUCGACCUGACAGCAUUGAAGCCUGGUAGGAUAAUCAGAGUUGAAGGAAACUGUAGAGGAAUCACCAGUGUAAAGGACAAGAUCUGGGUAAAAAAUCAAUCUUAAGUUCUAACCAUUAUGAAUAUCAAUAGUAAAGUUCUAAAUACAAUACAAACAACAUUUAAUCCUUAUGAAAUCUGGGCCAAUCAAGAUGGUGAUGUCUAUUGUACUGACAACAAUAGUGUUAAAGUAUACGUUGUUACAUCGGAUGGAAAAGAACGUGAGAAAUACAACCGUCCUGACCUGAAAAGUGCUAAUGGUGUAGCUAUAGAUGACCAAGGUGAUGUGUAUGUAGCAGGAUAUAUAUCAAACAAAAUACAUAGAAUAUCUUACAAUGGAAAGAAACAUGGCAUUGUCCUGACAGCAGACGAUGGUAUCAAUGGACCGAGCGCUAUAUCUUACAACAAUGAAACAAGAGAACUGUUAGUUUUUAACGACGGUUCGCAAUGUUUCAACAUCUAUAAAACACAAUGAAUACUAGCUAAGAGGCACUUACUUAGUUAGUAUGGAUGGUUACCCUAAAGAUAAACAAAAAAGUUUUUAUAUCUUAAUGAAAAAAUUGAUAUAAAUAUAACCGGGUUUUCAAAUAUUUAUUGAAACUUUUUCAGAUUUACCUUUAUACUGACAAAUUGAACCAUACCGAAAUGAUUAAAUAAUAUUUGAUGGAAGUAUCUAACUAAAUCUGAAGUCUUAUCAAUAUGAGACCUUUUUUCUUAAAUACUACGAAUUAGAAAAUCUAGAAAAAUAUUUUGAUUUGGACUACAUUUUUGUAUUUAUACAUUGCAAGUAAUUUUUCAAACUUGCACACAAUGCAAAACUAGAGCACUGUAGCGGAUGGGUUUAAAUAUAUAUUGAUAGGCUUUUUGUACUAGUUGUAAGUAAUUUUUCAAAUUUGCACACUGAGCAAGAGAAGGACACUAUAGCGGAUGGGUUUGCAUAUUUCAUUCCAUUCUAUUUCAGUUCAGGAAAGACCAAAAUUGUGAGUCAGUGAUUUGGAACUUUAUAAUAAGACCAAAUAUUAAAAAAAAACUUUAUCUACAUGUUCCUUAGGGAAUCAAGUUCAAAAUGAUAUUCGGUGAUUUGAUACAUCAGUAAACAUGGCACCAGUUGUUAAAAAUAGAAAUAAAAUGCUGAUUUGUUUUUAA